Molecule: long non-coding RNA, 318 nt
Filed under: Hordeum vulgare
Lineage: Eukaryota; Viridiplantae; Streptophyta; Magnoliopsida; Poales; Poaceae
Description: long non-coding RNA (HVUL_LNC005386)
Source: RNAcentral
AUUGACAGAUGGACAGUCGUAAUCCAGACGCAUCUCCGUCAGGAACCGGAAAACGUUCCCCGGUUAAGGACCCGACGAACACACCAGCUCAUUUUCAAUUGCUUAGGCAAGGUUCAGGGAUGUGAUCCAGGUUUCCAGAAUGGUUAGUUGCUUGUGCAAUUCAGUUCAUAUGAAUCUUGUUGCUGGAAGGAGUAGAGUUUGAUUAGAUUGGAUCAGCGUUAUUUGGUAUUUUGGUAGUGGCUAAGUAUGGGAUACGCACCUUCCAUUNGCUCAUUUUCAAUUGCUUAGCCAAGGUUCAGGGAUGUGAUCCAGGUUUCC